This 336-nucleotide ribosomal RNA is filed under the name Triticum aestivum (bread wheat). RNAcentral's name for it is "partial small subunit ribosomal RNA". Lineage: Eukaryota; Viridiplantae; Streptophyta; Magnoliopsida; Poales; Poaceae. The record is from RNAcentral.
AUGAGCUGCUUUCAGUUGCCCGUUGAUACUUGCGAGAAGUUUCGUCAGAUUAUUGCUGAUGAGUGGUGGGGCCGUGAAGAUGGGAAAAGGAAAUUGCAUUGGCGCUCUUGGGAGUGGCUUACUACACCUAAGGCGCUUGGUGGUACGGGCUUCCGUGACAUGGCCCUUUUCAAUCUUGUUAUGCUUGCCAAACAAGGAUGGAGGUUGUUGACGGACCCAUCUUCACUAUGUGCUCGUGUUUUGAAAUGCCGAUAUUUUCCAACAUCCAAUUUCUGGAACGCAAUGGCACCAAGGUCUGCAUUUGCUACCUGGCGAGCCAUUUUGGCCGGUCGAGAA